CCUACGGGAGGCAGCAGUGGGGAAUCUUGCGCAAUGGGCGAAAGCCUGACGCAGCCAUGCCGCGUGAAUGAUGAAGGUCUUAGGAUUGUAAAAUUCUUUCACCGGGGACGAUAAUGACGGUACCCGGAGAAGAAGCCCCGGCUAACUUCGUGCCAGCAGCCGCGGUAAUACGAAGGGGGCUAGCGUUGCUCGGAAUUACUGGGCGUAAAGGGAGCGUAGGCGGAUAGUUUAGUCAGAGGUGAAAGCCCAGGGCUCAACCUUGGAAUUGCCUUUGAUACUGGCUAUCUUGAGUAUGGGAGAGGUAUGCGGAACUCCGAGUGUAGAGGUGAAAUUCGUAGAUAUUCGGAAGAACACCAGUGGCGAAGGCGGCAUACUGGCCCAUUACUGACGCUGAGGCUCGAAAGCGUGGGGAGCAAACAGGAUUAGAUACCCUGGUAGUCCACGCUGUAAACGAUGAGUGCUAGUUGUCGGCAUGCAUGCAUGUCGGU
This 488-nucleotide ribosomal RNA is filed under the name uncultured bacterium. RNAcentral describes it as "bacterial SSU rRNA". It matches the Rfam family "Bacterial small subunit ribosomal RNA", at positions 338 to 844 of the family's 1533-position model. The record is from RNAcentral.